Molecule: transfer RNA, 60 nt
Filed under: Arctotanais alascensis
Lineage: Eukaryota; Metazoa; Arthropoda; Malacostraca; Tanaidacea; Tanaididae
Description: tRNA-Phe
Source: RNAcentral
AGUUUUUUAGUUCAAAAAGAAUGCAGUGCUGAAAAUACUAAGAUGUUAAUACAAAAACUA